AUUGAACGCUGGCGGAAUGCUUUACACAUGCAAGUCGAGCGGCAGCGCGGCCUUCGGGCUGGCGGCGAGCGGCGAACGGGUGAGUAAUGCAUCGGAACAUGCCCAGUCGUGGGGGAUAACACUUCGAAAGAAGUGCUAAUACCGCAUACGUCCUGAGGGGGAAAGCGGGGGAUCGCAAGACCUCGCGCGAUUGGAGUGGCCGAUGUCAGAUUAGCUAGUUGGUGGGGUAAAGGCCUACCAAGGCGACGAUCUGUAGCUGGUCUGAGAGGAUGAUCAGCAACACUGGGACUGAGACACGGCCCAGACUCCUAAGGGAGGCAGCAGUGGGGAAUUUUGGACAAUGGGGGCAACCCUGAUCCAGCCAUUCCGCGUGAGUGAAGAAGGCCUUCGGGUUGUAAAGCUCUUUCGGCAGGAACGAAACGGUGGGCUCUAACAUAGUCCGCUAAUGACGGUACCUGAAGAAGAAGCACCGGCUAACUACGUG
This 484-nucleotide ribosomal RNA is filed under the name uncultured bacterium. RNAcentral describes it as "partial 16S ribosomal RNA". It matches the Rfam family "Bacterial small subunit ribosomal RNA", at positions 29 to 507 of the family's 1533-position model. The record is from RNAcentral.